RNAcentral lists this long non-coding RNA (234 nucleotides) under Elaeis guineensis (African oil palm). RNAcentral describes it as "long non-coding RNA (EGUI_LNC010132)". Lineage: Eukaryota; Viridiplantae; Streptophyta; Magnoliopsida; Arecales; Arecaceae. The record is from RNAcentral.
UCAUAUUUAUAUUUCUAGGUUUUUUAAUGUUUUAGUAAACUGAAUCAAAUGAGGCACCUGUACAGCUGCUGUGAAAAACUUGGAGUCAAAGGGAAUCAUCCACACAUGCUGCUCUAUUUUCUAAUUACUAUAGAAAAGUAUUUGUAAGAGACCAUUUUAUUUGUUGGAGGGACAUGCCUCAUUAGAUAUGUUAAGAAUAUUCCAGAAUAUCCUAUGAAUCUAGAAUAAUCUCUC